ACCUACCUCUGUCUGGAGAAUAGCCCGAAGAAAUUCGGAUUAAUGCUCCGUAACACCAUGAUGAGGCAUCUCGUCAUGGUCAAAGCUCCGGCGGGCAGAGAUGGACAUGCGUAACAUUAGCUUGUUGGUGAGGUAACGGCUCACCAAGGCUACGAUGUAAAGGGGGUCUGAGAGGAUGGUCCCCCACACUGGUACUGAGACACGGACCAGACUUCUACGGAAGGCAGCAGUUGAGGAAUAUUGGUCAAUGGGCGAAAGCCUAAACCAGCCAUGCCGCGUGAAGGAGGACAGCCCUACGGGUUUGUAACCUCCUUUUGUACGGGAAGAAACACUUCUAAGUGUAGAAGCUUGACGGUACCGGUACGAAAUAAGCAUCGGGUAACUCUGUGCCCAGCAGCCGCGGUAAAUACGGGAGGGAUGCAGGCGUUAUCCGGGAUACAUUGGGGUUAAAAGGGAACGUAGGGCGGAACAUAAAGGUCAGUGUUGAAAUCUUGCAGCUAACCUGUAGAACUGUCAUUGAUACUGAUCUUCUUGAAAAUAGUUGAGGUAGGCGGAAUGUGUAAUGUAGCGGUGAAAUGCUUAGAUAUUACACAGAACACCGAUUGCGGAGGCAGGCUUACUAACGUUUUGAUUGACGCUGAGGUACGAAAGCGUGGGGAACGAACAGGUUUAGAUACCCCGUGGUAGUCCACGGCUGUAAACGAUGAUCACUCGUUGGUUGCAUAUAUAGUUUCAGCGGACUGAGCGAAAGCAUUAAGUGACUCCACCCUGGGGAGUACGAUCGCAAGGAUUGACACUCAAAGGAUUUGCCGGGGGCCCCCACAAGCGGAGGAACAUGGUGGUUUAAUUUCGAUGAUACGCGAGGAACCUUACCUGGGCUUAAAUGUAGAACCGGCGGAUCGGGAAACUGAUCCUUCUUCGAACGGUCUGCAAGAUGCUGCAUGGCUGUCGUCAGCUCGUGCCAUGAGGUGUCGGGUUAAGUCCCAUAACGAGCGCAACCCUCAUCAUUAGUUGCCAGCGGAUAAUGCCGGGGACUCUAAUUGAUACUGCCGGUGUAAACCGAGAGGAAGGUGGGGAUGACGUCAAGUCAGCACGGCCCUUAUGUCCAGGGCUACACACGUGUUACGUUUUUUCGAUACAAAGGGCAGCUACCUGGUAACAGGAUGCUAAUCUCUAAAAUCGGUCUUAGUUCGGAUCGAAGUCUGCAACUCGACUUCGUAAAGCUGGAUUCGCUAGUAAUCGCGCAUCACCCACGGCGCGGUGAAUACGUUCCCGGGCCUUGUACACACCGCC
This 1293-nucleotide ribosomal RNA is filed under the name uncultured organism. RNAcentral's name for it is "bacterial SSU rRNA". It matches the Rfam family "Bacterial small subunit ribosomal RNA", at positions 124 to 1394 of the family's 1533-position model. The record is from RNAcentral.